GUGAAAGUGUGUGCUUCCUCAACUGAUUGUGCGUGAGGGUGAUGUGGUUCAGUCUAAUAUUAAAACAAAACAAAACAAAAACAAAAUGAAAAAUCUUUAGAAUGGUAUUGUCUGCUCUUCAGCAGAUCUUGAAGUAUUUGAUUGCUAGCAUAUUGAUAUAAAAUCCAGCUGUGGGCUAGAGACCAGAAAGCAUGUAUUGCUGUUGUGUUUUGAGUUUGUAAUAAGUUAGAGGCAAGAAGGAAUAAACAAAUCAGGGCUGGGAGAAGAGAUGUCAUGGUAUAUUUGCUUUCUGAUUGUCACAUUCUUAUGCAUUCAUUCCGGUGAUGUCUACGUCCCACUCCAUAAUUAUAUAUCCUCUGUUAGAAAACUUCCAAAUAUUGGCUAUAACUGAACUUAGAGUGAAACUUAUUGACAUUCAAGAACUUCUUUCUUGUUUUGUUCUGAAAUUGCACUAGUGUCACUUUGGGGAUGCUGUAGAUGAGAAUAUUGGACCAGAGAGACUGAAAUAAGCCAAUGUGGCAUGUUCUGAAGUUUGUAAACAUAGAUUCCAAACUUUUAACUGUACUUAAAGUAAGUUCUACCUGAGUAUGGAUAAUGCCAAAUGAAAUUAAUUUUUCUAGACAGUUUGAUGAUUUCUUAAACAUACUUGAAUUGCCUGUUUCUUUUAGGGUCAUUUGCAAAAGCAUCCAAAAUGGGCUAAAAUAUUGUUUUCAAAUGU
This 718-nucleotide long non-coding RNA is filed under the name Marmota monax (woodchuck). Lineage: Eukaryota; Metazoa; Chordata; Mammalia; Rodentia; Sciuridae. The record is from RNAcentral.